Molecule: ribosomal RNA, 282 nt
Filed under: uncultured eukaryote
Lineage: Eukaryota
Description: partial 18S ribosomal RNA
Rfam family: Eukaryotic small subunit ribosomal RNA
Source: RNAcentral
AAAAGCUCGUAGUUGGAUUUGUGGUGUGUCCAGUCGGCCUUUGCUCUUUGAGUGAUUGCGCUGUACUGGUCUGCCAUGUUUGGGUGGAAUCUGUGUGGCAUUAAGUUGUCGUGCAGGGGAUGCCCAUCGUUUACUGUGAAAAAAUUAGAGUGUUCAAAGCAGGCUUAUGCCGUUGAAUAUAUUAGCAUGGAAUAAUGAUAUAGGACCUUGGUACUAUUUUGUUGGUUUGCGCACUAAGGUAAUGAUUAAGAGGGACAGUUGGGGGUAUUUGUAUUCCAUUGU